GCCUCCUACGGGAGGCAGCAGUGAGGAAUAUUGGUCAAUGGGAGAGAUCCUGAACCAGCCAAGCCGCGUGAGGGAAGACGGCCCUAUGGGUUGUAAACCUCUUUUGCCGGGGAGCAAGGGCGGGGACGUGUCCCGGCCCGGAGAGUACCCGGAGAAAAAGCAUCGGCUAACUCCGUGCCAGCAGCCGCGGUAAUACGGAGGAUGCGAGCGUUAUCCGGAUUUAUUGGGUUUAAAGGGUGCGUAGGCGGGCUUUUAAGUCAGCGGUAAAAAUUCGGGGCUCAACCCCGUCCGGCCGUUG
This 298-nucleotide ribosomal RNA is filed under the name uncultured bacterium. RNAcentral's name for it is "partial 16S ribosomal RNA". It matches the Rfam family "Bacterial small subunit ribosomal RNA", at positions 334 to 629 of the family's 1533-position model. The record is from RNAcentral.